This 318-nucleotide ribosomal RNA is filed under the name uncultured Bacteriovorax sp. RNAcentral describes it as "bacterial SSU rRNA". It matches the Rfam family "Bacterial small subunit ribosomal RNA", at positions 29 to 334 of the family's 1533-position model. Lineage: Bacteria; Pseudomonadati; Bdellovibrionota; Bacteriovoracia; Bacteriovoracales; Bacteriovoracaceae. The record is from RNAcentral.
AACGAACGCUGGCGGCAUGCCUAACACAUGCAAGUCGAACGAGAAAGCACCUUCGGGUGUGAGUAGAGUGGCGCACGGGUGAGUAACACGUGGUGACCUACCGAUCCGCGGGGGAUAACCAGAAGAAAUUCUGGCUAAUACCGCAUACGUAGUGCAAUUUUAAAAGUAGCACUAGAAAGAAUGCCUCUGUAUAUGCAUUCACGGAACGAUGGGCCUGCGGGACAUUAGCUUGAUGGUGGGGUAAUGGCCUACCAUGGCAACGAUGUCUAGCGGAUCUGAGAGGAUGAUCCGUCACACUGGAACUGAGACACGGUCCAG